This is a non-coding RNA of Pelobates cultripes (western spadefoot toad), 932 nucleotides long. The record is from the annotation of a GenBank genome assembly. NCBI's taxonomy places the organism in Eukaryota, Metazoa, Chordata, Amphibia, Anura, Pelobatidae.
UUUUAAUUAUAGUUUGUAACAAUUACAGUUUCAAUCAUUAUUUUUUUAGAAUUAUUUGUAUUAAAAUAAAGUAUACCAUGGCUUAUUUCAAUGAGAGGUUUAUUCAUUAAACUUUAACAUUUUGUGAAUUGGUAACCAGAAAUUUGCAAAAUUUAGGGCAAACAAAUCUGGUUUUAAGAAAUAUCUCAAUGCACCUAUAGUCUCAGCUUGGCUACUUUUGGCCCCAGAUUUUGUGAUUCAUGUUUCAAUUCACUUCAUUUCUGGAUUUUAUCCUGCAAACUGGUUCAUGGAUUACAGGAUAAAAUUUACAAGGAAAGGUUAAAGGAAAUUUACAUGUAUAGCUUGGCGGAAAGACGAGACAGGGGGAUUGUGAUAGAAACAUUUAAAUACAUAAAGGGAAUCAACACAGUAAAGGAGUAGACUAUAUUUAAAAGAAGAAAAACUACCACAACAAGAGGACAUAGUCUUAAAUUAGAGGGGCAAAGGUUUAAAAAUAAUUUCAGGAAGCAUUACUUUACCGAGAUGGUAGUGGACGCACAGAAUAGCCUUCCAGCUAAGGUGGUAGAGGUUAACAUAGUAAAGGAGUUUAAGCAUGUGUGGGAUAGGCAUAAGGCUAUCCUAGCUAUAAGAUAAGGCCAGGGACUAAUGAAAGUAUUUAGAAAAUUGGGCAGACUAGAUGGGCCGAAUGAUUCUUAUCUGCCGUCACAUUCUAUGUUUCUACGUUUCUAUAAGUAAAUUAAUUCCUACAUUUUCUCACAUUACUGCAAUUCUUUUACAAGUAGUUAAAUUGUUAAAGUACUUUAGCUGAAGUCACACAUUGUCUAUAUUAGCCUACAUUUUAUUUAGUCUUCAAUUCAGAAAAAGAUAAAGUUCAACACCCAUGUUUGAAAUAAAAAAUGCCACAUUAUAAUCUAAAUAUAUAUAUAUAUAUA